Molecule: ribosomal RNA, 429 nt
Filed under: Pseudomonadota bacterium
Lineage: Bacteria; Pseudomonadati; Pseudomonadota
Description: Proteobacteria bacterium partial 16S ribosomal RNA
Rfam family: Bacterial small subunit ribosomal RNA
Source: RNAcentral
UGGGGAAUAUUGGACAAUGGGCGAAAGCCUGAUCCAGCCAUGCCGCGUGUGUGAAGAAGGUCUUCGGAUUGUAAAGCACUUUAAGUUGGGAGGAAGGGCAGUAAGCGAAUACCUUGCUGUUUUGACGUUACCGACAGAAUAAGCACCGGCUAACUAUGUGCCAGCAGACGCGGUAAUACAGAGGGUGCAAGCGUUAAUCGGAAUUACUGGGCGUAAAGCGCGCGUAGGUGGUUCGGUAAGUUGAAUGUGAAAGCCCCGGGCUCAACCUGGGAACUGCAUCCAAAGCUGGCGAGCUAGAGUAGGGCAGAGGGUAGUGGAAUUUCCUGUGUAGCGGUGAAAUGCGUAGAUAUAGGAAGGAACACCAGUGGCGAAGGCGACGACCUUGGCUCAUACUGACACUGAGGUGCGAAAGCGUGGGGAGCAAACAGG